GAUGAACGCUGGCGGCGUGCCUAAUACAUGCAAGUCGAGCGAACAGACGAGGAGCUUGCUCCUCUGACGUUAGCGGCGGACGGGUGAGUAACACGUGGAUAACCUACCUAUAAGACUGGGAUAACUUCGGGAAACCGGAGCUAAUACCGGAUAAUAUAUUGAACCGCAUGGUUCAAUAGUGAAAGACGGUUUUGCUGUCACUUAUAGAUGGAUCCGAGCCGCAUUAGCUAGUUGGGAAGGUAACGGCUUUGCAAGGCGACGAUGCGUAGCCGACCUGUGAGGGUGAUCGGCCACACUGGAACUGAGACACGGUCCAGACUCCUACGGGAGGCAGCAGUAUGGAAUCUUCCGCAAUGGGCGAAAGCCUGACGGAGCAACGCCGCGUGUGUGAUGAAGGUCUUCGGAUCGUAAAACUCUGUUAUUAGGGAAGAACAAAUGUGUAAGUAACUAUGCACGUCUUGACGGUACCUAAUCAGAAAGCCACGGCUAACUACGUG
RNAcentral lists this ribosomal RNA (497 nucleotides) under uncultured bacterium. RNAcentral's name for it is "partial 16S ribosomal RNA". It matches the Rfam family "Bacterial small subunit ribosomal RNA", at positions 28 to 507 of the family's 1533-position model. The record is from RNAcentral.